Molecule: small nucleolar RNA, 140 nt
Organism: Elaeis guineensis (African oil palm)
Lineage: Eukaryota; Viridiplantae; Streptophyta; Magnoliopsida; Arecales; Arecaceae
Product: small nucleolar RNA snoR136
Source: RefSeq, a predicted model, not a curated record
AGUGCUUCAUUUAUGUUUGUGCCUAUGAAUUUCUUCCAUUUUAUGGGCCUUGUGAGCAAGUGAAGCAAGAAAAACAAGGUUCCCCUUGCUAUCCAAUGCACAUCUGCUUUGUUGCAUUUGGACGUCGGGGAGCUACAUGU